UUCCCGAGUAGCUCAGCAGGCAGAGCGGUCGGCUGUUAACCGACUGGUCGGGGGUUCGAAUCCCUCCUCGGGAGCUUC
Molecule: transfer RNA, 78 nt
Filed under: Sulfurihydrogenibium azorense Az-Fu1
Lineage: Bacteria; Pseudomonadati; Aquificota; Aquificia; Aquificales; Hydrogenothermaceae
Description: tRNA-Asn
Rfam family: tRNA
About the family: Transfer RNA (tRNA) molecules are approximately 80 nucleotides in length. Their secondary structure includes four short double-helical elements and three loops (D, anti-codon, and T loops). Further hydrogen bonds mediate the characteristic L-shaped molecular structure. tRNAs have two regions of fundamental functional importance: the anti-codon, which is responsible for specific mRNA codon recognition, and the 3' end, to which the tRNAs corresponding amino acid is attached (by aminoacyl-tRNA synthetases). tRNAs cope with the degeneracy of the genetic code in two manners: having more than one tRNA (with a specific anti-codon) for a particular amino acid; and 'wobble' base-pairing, i.e. permitting non-standard base-pairing at the 3rd anti-codon position.
Source: RNAcentral